This 254-nucleotide non-coding RNA is filed under the name Phycicoccus sp. The record is from RNAcentral. Lineage: Bacteria; Bacillati; Actinomycetota; Actinomycetes; Micrococcales; Intrasporangiaceae.
CAUAUGGUGUGUCUCGCUGGUCCGGGUCCCGUGCACACGGGACCCGGGGCAAGAGGGAACCCGGUGCGAGUCCGGGACUGCCCCGCAGCGGUGAGUGGAAACGACAGUCGUCACCAAGCACUGCACGCCUCGGCGUGUGGGAAGCGACGGCCAGUAGGUGUCUCGCCGGGUCCCAGGACCGUCCACGGACGGUCGGGGGAGCCGGCAACGACGGGUCCACGAGUCCGAAGACCUGCCAGCGGCCGCGCACACCG